UCUCUGGCGCUACGCUUAGCGUCGGUGGCGGAGAAAACGGUGUAGACGAGGACAAAGGUGCCGAUGAUCUCAGCACCAAGUCCUUGACCCUUGGUGUAACCAUGGGCAACAGAGUUGGCACCACCGCCCAGCAUCUCGAAAGUGGAGCUCUUCUCGAAGCCCUUCACGACGGCGGCACCGGCGAUAGCUCCGAGGGUCUGCAUAACUAUGUAGAACAACGCCCUGGUCAGCGACAGCUUCCUGGCCAAAAACAGCCCGAAAGUCACCGCCGGGUUUAUGUGACCACCUGAGGUAUAAACAAUAACCACCACCGUUAAUCAAGAAUUACUUAUAAUUAAGAACGGAUUAAUGACACGGCUGCGUUUUUUGGGGGGAAAUUAAUUACCGGAGAUGCCGGCGGUGCUGUAGACGAGGGCGAAGAUGGUCCCGCCAAAAGCCCAAGCGAUGCCCUGAAUCCCGACCGUCGUGCACUUCGACUUGGACUUGACGACGCCCAUCACCGUCAAGAUUGUGAUGUAGAGAAACAGGAAAGUGGCGAUGAACUCGGCGAUCCCGGCCCUGUAGAACGACCAUGACGUCAGCUCACCGGGCUCGAACAGUGGAGCCGGCGGUGGCUCUUUGUAGUCUUUCCCUUCAUCCUGGGUCUGAGCCGACGUCCCGAUCGGCUGCCUCUCCGAGAACUUGUUCGCUCCCAGCUUAACAUCCUCUUCCUUGCCUUCCAUUUUCGCUUUAAUUACAAGAUCGGCAGAGAUCGAACUCUCGGUGACUGAUGACCGUUGGAUCUUUGUGAUCUGAGAGUGUG
RNAcentral lists this long non-coding RNA (802 nucleotides) under Malus domestica (apple). RNAcentral describes it as "long non-coding RNA (MDOM_LNC007077)". The record is from RNAcentral. Lineage: Eukaryota; Viridiplantae; Streptophyta; Magnoliopsida; Rosales; Rosaceae.